UGUAACCUCAUGUCAGGUGGGGUGCUAUCUGUUUGGUAGGAUUAAAAAAUAAUUGUUCUGUCUUCAUCCUAGGUAUAUCGCAAGUUCUUCGGCGGGUACUGCAACUGCUCAUACCAUGGUUAGUCUUAGUGAACCUCUCUUGGUGUUCUUAGGUUUACCUAUAGCUAUUAUUUAUCUGUAGCUAUUAUCUACUGGGUUUCUUUCUUGGUGUUGAUAGUUUGUUGGAGAUUAGGCGUUUGAUUUCCUUUACAAAAUAGGUUCAGUUUGAAAUUGCGGCCAAAGCAAUGUUUUCAUGUGGUUUCAUCAAUUUUAGUUUCUAUAUUUACAUGUGUUUGAUUGUCCCUUGCUCUCGUUUAGAUAGAGAUUUCUAUCAAGAGUAUAGAAAGUUGGUGCCUGACAACUAGCUGCUUGCAUUCAUCCACCCCCUACUCUUAUCUUGCAAAAGCCCACUUCUUGUGUUUUGCUUGUAUAUAUAUUAGGCUGGACCAAAGUGCGGUUAAGUAACCUCUAACAAAUUGUCAUGACAUGAGCUGAUUAGCGGUCUAUUGUAAGCCCGCUCGGACUUACGAAAGUGGAGGUCACAUUUCCAUUCCACCAAUGCAUGUAGAUUUUGGUUCAGACUUCCAUCAGUGAAUGAAAAAAAAGGAAAAGCAAGAGAGAAUAGCAAGUACUUAUAUCAGUAUAAAAAUAUACCAAUGGGUAGUGAGCCUGCAACGUUGUGUACGUAUACAUGGGGAAAAUAUUUGGUUUGUGGCUUGUGUGAAAGGACAAUUUAGGUUUGUAUUCUAUAUCUGAGAACCAUUCAUAGCUUUAAGAUUUUGUUAUAAUUGUCAUCCCAUGGUUUUGCUCGGAAUAGCUGACCUUCUCUUUGUGUUUUUUGGUUGAUAUUAGUGUAAGAUGAUGAGUCCACAUUAGUUUGAUGUGCACCUAACAAUUAGGUUCUUCCUUCUUAAUACUACAUGCAUUGUUUUAGAUUCUAGCCUAUAUGUUUAGUUGCAGGUCAAGUCUCUUAACAAAUUUGGUUUUGCUGGUUGUUUAAACUAUUCCAGUUUGUUGUGGCAAUUCAAGUGACAGGUCCAGAAAAAAACAUAUCUCUAGCUAUUCGUUAUUUCAUAUUGAAUUUUCCUCAUAUUGUAGAGAAAUCUCAGCUAAUCUGUUCACAUCUUGAAAAUACAAUCACAAUUUCUCUUUACACAUGAAAUGUCCCUGAAGUGUUCGCAUAUACAUAAUGGUGAUUGUGACAGAAGAGUCAUGCUAUCUGGAGUCCUUUAUUCAGUAUUUCGGACAAAUGACUAUCACAUUUUAUUUAGCAAGGAAAUAUAAGGUGCAAAAUAUUAUAUUAGUGAACCUAUGAGCAGUUGAGCAUACUCAAUCUCAUGCCUCAUAUCUGAUCUUUGUGGACCAAGUGCGGUUUGAAAUUCCCUCGCCUAUCUUGGGCUGACUUAAAGACAAUCAGAUUUAGCAUUUAGUCAGAUGAAAAGAUGGAUAAUAGGGAUGAUCCCACUUGGAUCCUAGGCACAAGAUUGAGUGUGCAAUUGUGCAUUUUUCAUUAUAAUCGUAUGCACCUGUUACUUCCUAUUAUUCACAUUAUCAAAUAUUGUUCAUGUAGUGUCUUGCACUCUUGCCCGUUCCUGAAUAGACAGUUAGGGAACAGGGUAAAGAUGGUGUUUGUAGACUUUUUGGCUGGGAAUACAAAUGUUAAGAUGUAACCGCAUAAGGAUAUGUCAUGUGCCCAAGAUUCUCGAACAGAAGUUACCUCAAUAAUCGAUAGUUCAAUAAAUAGAUUAGUUUGUAUGAUUAAUUUACUAUGUUGUUCUUACACAACUGGUACAUAAAUUCAGCUACAUCUAAACUUAGUCAAUGACAUAUGCUAACUUUUGUUGUUUUUCACAGUGGCACAGAACACUUCUUUGCAUGAAUUCCUUGAUAGUUAUCUACAAUUCAGGCACAGGUGGUAUGAUUCUCCAGGAUUUUUUUGGGACUGGUCAUUGCGGGCAUGUUGAGGGUAUUUAGUUAAGCAAUUUUGUUAUUAUUUUAGAUUGAGUACAUCAGCUCGCUGGUUGCUUACAUUUUCUUGGUCCCUAGAGCUACUCACCUCGCUGGUUGUUUACAUUUCCUUGUUCCUGGGAUCCACUUUCCUAAAAUGAAUCUGUUUUAAUCUUGUAACUGGAACUGGUGGAUAUUUUGAUAGGGAAAUUACGAUGAUUGAUUUCUAGAUUUGAGUUUCAGAUUUUUUUUGCUUGUACUGGCCUCUUGAGAUUGGAAGACUGGCGUUGUUGUGGGCUUGUGGCAUAGGCUUCCUUUGUGGGUCUUUUUCUCAUCUGAUGUAAACAAUAUUUUUUAGUCUGGUAACGGUGCAAAGGCAAAUGGGGCAUCAUCACAUAUCUAGGUCGUAUUUUCGACAGACAGAUAUAAAACGGAGUGGGAAUGCCUCGAUUGAUAUCAUGUCCAAGUUCUUCAAGCUGAUGGUGGGGUGACAAAAAUAUGAUGGAUUGUAGGAAGAGGCCUUUGCCCAAGUGUAUUGUCUAUGGCAAGCCCAAGCACCAGGGUAUCACCCAACUCAAGUUCCAGAGGUACAAGAGGUGUGUCGCUGAGAGAGCUAUACGCAAGCUUGGUGGACUGAGGGUUCUUAUGUUAUGAAAUAAAGUAUGUCAUGAACUUUUUGCAA
RNA transcript from Zea mays, 2668 nucleotides. It is a transcript of the gene named 60S ribosomal protein L15 pseudogene, with no coding region annotated. The record is from RefSeq and is marked validated. The transcript is spliced from 3 exons. Lineage: Eukaryota; Viridiplantae; Streptophyta; Magnoliopsida; Poales; Poaceae.